Molecule: long non-coding RNA, 712 nt
Organism: Dicentrarchus labrax (European seabass)
Lineage: Eukaryota; Metazoa; Chordata; Actinopteri; Moronidae
Exons: 2
Source: RefSeq, a predicted model, not a curated record
CACGCAAGUCUGUAACAAUGUUGGGUGUCUCCGAGCAUGUUUAUACAUGCCCUACCUCACCACCCACAACUUCUCCUCCAAGACAGCUAAGGGUAGGAUGUAAGAGACAUCAUCUCCAUUGAAAACUGGAACUAUUUUAUCUUCUGACAUUUGGUUGUUUAAGUGUACUUUAGCUGGUUUCGAUAUACAGGCACAAAGGUCAGAUUGCGGACCAGCCCCCCCAGAGAAGCCUCCCCAGAGCACCAAACCUUCCAGUGCAGAAAAAUGACAGGAUAACCCGAAGAGGAUGGAGAGGAAGUGAAGUGAGCUCAUUUCCUAUAAUGGCAAGAAGAAGGAAAUGGAUUGUGGGAGGGGAGAGAAGGGAUAAUGGUUUGCUGUAUGUGUGUUUAAUGACAUGGUCAGACAAAAAAAAGCCCCCACUCCCCAAAGGCACUUUGCAAUGUAAGCAAUAUAAAGAGGGGAACUUUGACAUUUCUGGUGAUGCUAUGGGGGGAGGUCAUAAACUUGAGGGGUGAAUUGUGUUUUUUCAGGACACUAGCAAAAUAAGCAGCAUCGCAGGGGCACUUUGUGGACAAUCAAGUCUGGGUUAAACUGGAACAUAAAGGUUUUUCUGGCCCAGGGGCAAAAUACGGAAGACCGACUACUCAGUGAUGUGUAUGACAAGGUCAUCAAAAUACUAAAUAAAUAAAUAAACAAAACGGUUUAUCUCUUA